This 236-nucleotide unclassified non-coding RNA is filed under the name Paraglomus laccatum. RNAcentral describes it as "partial internal transcribed spacer 2". Lineage: Eukaryota; Fungi; Glomeromycota; Glomeromycetes; Paraglomerales; Paraglomeraceae. The record is from RNAcentral.
UUUAACAAAUAAUGUGCGCGUCGUUUUUACGAGCGAUGUGCACACGUUGAUGAGCUUUUCCGAAAAAACCAGGUUUUUUUGGUGGCGCAUAAUGAACAGCGUGGGCUUUUUCUUCGAUUCUCGUGUAGUAAAUCUUCAACGCUUGGGUUGAGAAAAAGUGCGUGCCGCGCAAUGGGUGUGGCGAAUUUUACCCCUGCCCCAAUGCCACUCUUUCCCUGCGAAAGAACAUCUUUUAU